AUACGUAGGGUGCAAGCGUUAAUCGGACUUACUGGGCGUAAAGCGUGCGCAGGCGGUUUUGUAAGACAGUGGUGAAAUCCCCGGGCUCAAUCUGGGAACUGCCAUUGUGACUGCAAGGCCGGAGUGCGGCAGAGGGGGAUGGAAUUCCGCGUGUAGCAGUGAAAUGCGUAGAUAUGCGGAGGAACACCGAUGGCGAAGGCAAUCCCCUGGGCCUGCACUGACGCUCAUGCACGAAAGCGUGGGGAGCAAACAGGAUUAGAUACCCUGGUAGUCCACGCCCUAAACGAUGUCAACUAGUUGUUGGGGAUUUAUUUUCUCAGUAACGAAGCUAACGCGUGAAGUUGACCGCCUGGGGAGUACGGCCGCAAGGUUAAAACUCAAAUGAAUUGACGGGG
RNAcentral lists this ribosomal RNA (395 nucleotides) under uncultured bacterium. Its description in RNAcentral is "partial 16S ribosomal RNA". It matches the Rfam family "Bacterial small subunit ribosomal RNA", at positions 523 to 918 of the family's 1533-position model. The record is from RNAcentral.